AAGCAACCUCUCGAUAAAAUGGUUUACAGCAAAAACAUCAUGAAAUGAAAAGUGUGGUCAAGAACAAGGAAAACAAAUUAUAGAUAAGAAAUAAAAUAAUUGUACAAUUCAACAGUUUCUCUUGAAAAACACAGAAAAGUUACUUCUGAAAAAUAUAUGCUUGUGUAUGUAUGCUUAUACAUAUUAUCAAUGAAAUGCAAAAAAUGAGAAACUGAGGGGGACAAGGGAAGUCUAACUACUAAAAACUAAUUAAGAACAUCAUUUCUUUUCAUGUGUUCACACUUUUUUUUUCUUCUUCUCGCUGAUAGUGGAUUGAACGAGCUCCAAGUGUUUCAUUAAUUUUUCCCGUUUGGUCAGUGGUUUUUGUUUGCUGGAAUCAGUGUUUGCCAAGUUUUCGAUGUACGAUUUUGCAACUAGCACAUCCUGAAAGCAUAAGAAAUAUUCUUGAGUUUUUCUAUCUGAGGAAAAAUUCAGUCCUAUUAAAAAAAAAAUAAUUUGCAUCAACCCGAAAAAAAGUUCUUACACUAGGUGCAUUGUUAAAGUCUCCGGAGAACUCUCCUGAGCUACCCGACGUGAACAACUGUUGUUGGACUUUGGAGGAAUUACCCGGCAACCAGUUACGUCAGUCUCAGAACAGCUCUACAACUUUCCCAUCUCUCGAGGAAUAACAAGUUCAGAAGCAAAAAAUAUCUUACAGCUCAUUACAUCUUCAAGGCCUGCACUCUUCUUCUUCUUCUUUUUCUUCUUCGGGGAUGCAGCCUCGACGACUUCAUUUUCUUCAUUCUCUUCUACAGCAACUGAUCCUUGCUUAUUCUUUUUCUUCUUCUUCUUGGCAGGGCUACUAGCUUCCUCCUGAAAUUGAAUGAAAGACAGUGAGUUUUAGAUGAAGCAAUCAUACUAGGAGAUAGCUUAAUAUCAAUUCUUGUAAUAUCGGAGCAGUUCUAGAAAAAAAAAAGAAGAAAAAAAAAAAAAUUUAAAACAAAAGUAAACUGCAUUUUUAAAAAUCCACCACAAGAUUGCUUUAAAUAUAAGCAGCACUUUUUCUCGUAUUCCUCCAGUUAAAAAUCCGGUAAUCUUAAAAGAAGAGUUUUUUUAAUCAAGAUUUUCCUUGUAGCUGAAUAUUAUGGUGUGACUUACAUAAGAAAGUUAAAUUCAUUUAAGUUUAACACAGAACUAAUAUGGCAGAAUGGUGGUGUUGUGGUCUUAGUUAUUGCCUACAGCAGAGACACAGAAUAGUAACUGAGCAAAAGUCAAACGGAUAAGGAAUGGAAUUGACUAGGACAAAUAAAGCAACAGUUAGAAGCUAAACGGGAGUUAUCAUUAUGUGGGCUUCAUAGAAUCGCUAAAUUUGAAGGAAUAAAAGUUAAUACUGUUUACUGCCUCUUUUAACAUGUUCUGUUUGAGCAAUAAACUCCUAAUAAGGACGAUUCUGGCCAGUCUGUUGAAAAUCGUUAAAAGAGGGGUUUUCUGUGAUAAUUUCCAAAAUGAACGGAUCAGAAUCUGUAACUAGGUUAUCUGCAAAUACUAAUUAUUAGAUACAUCUAUCUUCUUCAAUAGUAAACAGUGCCCGAUAGAGUCAGUGUUCAGUACCUUUGCAUAUCUUCCUUUUAAAAAUUUUCAUCAUUCCCAAAUCCACUACUUAGGUCAUGGAACUUAAAUAAACAAAAGACACCCACUAAGGCUUGAUGAUGGUUACUAUAAAAAUGGUCCUAAGUCCUGGAGGAUGGCUGAGUUUUCCAUCAAUUCGAGGCUCAAGGUGUAAAUGGGGUAGAAGAGGUCUCUCCGGCAGGCCUACCAUUUUACAAUUUUCAUAGUUCAUCAGCACUUUAGCUUAGGAGUGGAUUGUCCUUCUCAACUGGUAACAAAAAGGUGAUAUAAGGUAAAUAAAGUUAAGAAAGGUGAUGAAGGUAAUACACUUAUCUUACCCCAUUUGUCAUUUCUUCAUGGUCAUUUUGCAUAAAGUUAACACUUUCGUCUGUAAAGAAAAAUAAAAAAUAAACAUAAAAAUUAACGUCAAAAAUUUCUAGAGAUUUUGGAACAC
This 2041-nucleotide long non-coding RNA is filed under the name Bemisia tabaci. Its description in RNAcentral is "lncRNA ENSSSA1NGG011915". Lineage: Eukaryota; Metazoa; Arthropoda; Insecta; Hemiptera; Aleyrodidae. The record is from RNAcentral.